UUUGCAAGCACAGUCUUCAGCUUCUCACCAGAUUAUUUACUGAGGUAUUAAAGGAUAUUGUUUCAGUUUCCCUGAAUGAGAAAAGAGAAACGAUCUUAAUAGUUGAUCUGUGUUGUAGCUCACAGCUGUGCCACUGGACUGGAUUGAGAUUGGGGAGUGGAGGAGGGGAGCAGAGGAGAUCGAUGCAAGAGAUAAAGAAAAGACAGGAGCAGGAAGGUGAAAACAACAAAGGGAAUCGGAAUAGAUGUAUUUGGGUUAAGAUGAACAAGGAUAAGGAAUUUACCACAGAUUUUUCUCUCAAUUCUUACGUCUUCACAAAGUUGGGUGAAGGGAACUGCAGCACACAGCUUUGA
This 353-nucleotide long non-coding RNA is filed under the name Numida meleagris (helmeted guineafowl). RNAcentral's name for it is "lncRNA (ENSNMEG00000007573.1)". Lineage: Eukaryota; Metazoa; Chordata; Aves; Galliformes; Numididae. The record is from RNAcentral.